Long non-coding RNA from Sardina pilchardus (European sardine), 427 nucleotides. RefSeq lists it as uncharacterized. NCBI's taxonomy places the organism in Eukaryota, Metazoa, Chordata, Actinopteri, Clupeiformes, Clupeidae. The transcript has 4 exons. The record is from RefSeq and is a predicted model, not a curated record.
AUCAGUAAGUCACACGCCCUACAGUUCCAAGUUGUUUACCCAGGAGUUGUAGGCCUGCCUGGGAAGCACAAAGACGCUAUGUAAGAAAUAUCACAGCCCCACUUAACAGGAGUUAUGCGAGGGCGUCUUCCAGUUUAACCUGUGAGAAACAUCCAGCACGAUCAAGUGGUGAGUGAUUAGUUUGCAGAGAUAAAGUCGGUUCGGACCACGCCUGGCCUGGUUACAUACCACUCUGACUAGUGUGGACGAGCUUCGUUCCACCCCAGCACCUGACUGCUCCAGUUCAAAGGUGGUGCAGAGGUUGAUGAGAUUGAUGAUGAUGACGAGGAGGAAGAUGAGAGCGAGCACCGUAGUGAGAGUCGGCCCUCCGCCCGUCACCCAGCCCUGCAAGUCCGCUACGAGGGGAGCCAUAGCACCUGUGGACGAG